GACGAACGCUGGCGGCGUGCUUAACACAUGCAAGUCGAACGGAAAGGCCCUGCUUUUGUGGGGUGCUCGAGUGGCGAACGGGUGAGUAACACGUGAGUAACCUGCCCUUGACUUUGGGAUAACUUCAGGAAACUGGGGCUAAUACCGGAUAGGAGCUCCUGCUGCAUGGUGGGGGUUGGAAAGUUUCGGCGGUUGGGGAUGGACUCGCGGCUUAUCAGCUUGUUGGUGGGGUAGUGGCUUACCAAGGCUUUGACGGGUAGCCGGCCUGAGAGGGUGACCGGCCACAUUGGGACUGAGAUACGGCACAGACUCCUACGGGAGGCAGCAGUGGGGAAUAUUGCACAAUGGGCGGAAGCCUGAUGCAGCAACGCCGCGUGCGGGAUGACGGCCUUCGGGUUGUAACCCGCUUCCGCCUGUGACGAAGCGUGAGUGACGGUAAUGGGUAAAGAAGCACCGGCUAACUACGUG
RNAcentral lists this ribosomal RNA (468 nucleotides) under uncultured bacterium. RNAcentral describes it as "partial 16S ribosomal RNA". It matches the Rfam family "Bacterial small subunit ribosomal RNA", at positions 28 to 507 of the family's 1533-position model. The record is from RNAcentral.